GCUGGGGUGGCCGAGUGGUCUAAGGCGCCAGCCUGGAAAGCUGGUCUCCGCAAGGAGGCGCGAGUGAAGCUUUAUUCUUCCCGAGGAAGAAUAAUGCCUCAACGUCAAAAGAAGCAGAUUCCUGCAAAGCAGGAAUAUUACUGCUAAAUUGGCUAUGAGGUUUUCCGCGAUUUCAAAUCUUGCCCCCAGCG
RNAcentral lists this transfer RNA (191 nucleotides) under Candidatus Aenigmatarchaeota archaeon. RNAcentral describes it as "tRNA-Ser". It matches the Rfam family "tRNA". From Rfam's summary of the family: Transfer RNA (tRNA) molecules are approximately 80 nucleotides in length. The record is from RNAcentral. Lineage: Archaea; Nanobdellati; Candidatus Aenigmatarchaeota.